Molecule: ribosomal RNA, 429 nt
Filed under: uncultured bacterium
Lineage: Bacteria
Description: bacterial SSU rRNA
Rfam family: Bacterial small subunit ribosomal RNA
Source: RNAcentral
ACGAACGCUGGCGGCAGGCUUAACACAUGCAAGUCGAACGCCCCGCAAGGGGAGUGGCAGACGGGUGAGUAACGCGUGGGAAUCUACCUAUCUCUACGGAAUAACCCGGGGAAACUUGGACUAAUACCGUAUACGCCCUUUUGGGGAAAGAUUUAUCGGAGAUGGAUGAGCCCGCGUUGGAUUAGCUAGUUGGUGGGGUAAAGGCCUACCAAGGCGACGAUCCAUAGCUGGUCUGAGAGGAUGAUCAGCCACAUUGGGACUGAGACACGGCCCGAACUCCUACGGGAGGCAGCAGUGGGGAAUAUUGGACAAUGGGCGCAAGCCUGAUCCAGCCAUGCCGCGUGAGUGAUGAAGGCCCUAGGGUUGUAAAGCUCUUUCAACGGUGAAGAUAAUGACGGUAACCGUAGAAGAAGCCCCGGCUAACUUCGU